Molecule: non-coding RNA, 47 nt
Organism: Schistosoma margrebowiei
Lineage: Eukaryota; Metazoa; Platyhelminthes; Trematoda; Strigeidida; Schistosomatidae
Source: Rfam
AUUCACAGUUGACGAGUCUCAAAUAGGACGAAACACGCGUCAUGGAU